CGCGUAGGUGGUUGCGUAAGUCAGAUGUGAAAUCCUCAGGCUUAACCUGAGAACCGCAUCUGAUACUGCGUGACUCGAGUGCAGCAGAGGGAAACGGAAUUCCUGGUGUAGAGGUGAAAUUCGUAGAUAUCAGGAGGAACACCGGUGGCGAAGGCGGUUUCCUGGGCUGACACUGACACUGAGGCGCGAAAGCGUGGGUAGCAAACAGGAUUAGAUACCCUGGUAGUCCACGCUGUAAACGGUGAAUACUGGGUGUGGGAGGUGUAAUGCCUUCUGUGCCGAAGCUAACGCGUUAAGUAUUCCGCCUGGGGAGUACGGCCGCAAGGUUGAA
Molecule: ribosomal RNA, 331 nt
Filed under: uncultured bacterium
Lineage: Bacteria
Description: bacterial SSU rRNA
Rfam family: Bacterial small subunit ribosomal RNA
Source: RNAcentral